Molecule: small RNA, 29 nt
Filed under: Bombyx mori (domestic silkworm)
Lineage: Eukaryota; Metazoa; Arthropoda; Insecta; Lepidoptera; Bombycidae
Description: ovarian small RNA-10290
Source: RNAcentral
AACCAGGUCCUGCUGUUAUAGGCUUCAAA